This 450-nucleotide ribosomal RNA is filed under the name uncultured bacterium. RNAcentral's name for it is "partial 16S ribosomal RNA". It matches the Rfam family "Bacterial small subunit ribosomal RNA", at positions 338 to 795 of the family's 1533-position model. The record is from RNAcentral.
CCUACGGGAGGCUGCAGUGGGGAAUAUUGCGCAAUGGGCGAAAGCCUGACGCAGCGACGCCGCGUGGGUGAUGAAGGCCUUCGGGUUGUAAAGCCCUGUCGGGUGGAACGAACGAUCUGGCGGCGAAUAACCGCCGGGUGUGACGGUACCACCGAAGGAAGCCCCGGCUAACUACGUGCCAGCAGCCGCGGUACGACGUAGGGGGCGAGCGUUCGUCGGAUUCGCUGGGCGGAAUGCGCACGUCGGCGGUGAAAUCCCUCGGCUUAACCGAGGUCCAGCAUACGAUACUGUCUGGCUCGAGUCUAGGAGAGGAAAGCGGAAUUCCCAGUGUAGCGGUGAAAUGCGUAGAUAUUGGGAGGAACACCGGUGGCGAAGGCGGCUUUCCGGACUAGUACUGACGCUGAGGCGCGAAAGCUAGGGGAGCGAACGGGAUUAGAUACCCGAGUAGUC